GGGUCUAAAUACUGUCUCUUGUCCUUGC
This 28-nucleotide non-coding RNA is filed under the name Mus musculus (house mouse). The record is from RNAcentral. Lineage: Eukaryota; Metazoa; Chordata; Mammalia; Rodentia; Muridae.